UACGAAGGGGGCUAGCGUUGCUCGGAAUCACUGGGCGUAAGGGUGCGUAGGCGGGUCUUUUAAGUCAGGGGUGAAAUCCUGGAGCUCAACUCCAGAACUGCCUUUGAUACUGAGGAUCUUGAGUUCGGGAGAGGUGAGUGGAACUGCGAGUGUAGAGGUGAAAUUCGUAGAUAUUCGCAAGAACACCAGUGGCGAAGGCGGCUCACUGGCCCGAUACUGACGCUGAGGCACGGAAAAGCGUGGGGAGCAAACAGGG
This 256-nucleotide ribosomal RNA is filed under the name uncultured bacterium. RNAcentral describes it as "partial 16S ribosomal RNA". It matches the Rfam family "Bacterial small subunit ribosomal RNA", at positions 524 to 777 of the family's 1533-position model. The record is from RNAcentral.